RNAcentral lists this ribosomal RNA (508 nucleotides) under uncultured bacterium. RNAcentral's name for it is "bacterial SSU rRNA". It matches the Rfam family "Bacterial small subunit ribosomal RNA", at positions 15 to 518 of the family's 1533-position model. The record is from RNAcentral.
GAUCCUGGCUCAGGAUGAACGCUAGCGGCAGGCUUAACACAUGCAAGUCGAGGGGCAUCGCGGUGUAGCAAUACACUGGCGGCGACCGGCGAAAGGGUGAGUAACGCGUGAGCAACAUACCCGGCACUGGGGGAUAGUCAUUGGAAACGAUGCGUAAUACCCCGUAACACAUGGAGCGGCAUCGCUUCAUGUUAAGAGAUUUAUCGAUACCGGAUUGGCUCGCGUACCAUUAGCUAGUUGGCGGGUAACGGCCCACCAAGGCGACGAUGGUUAGGGGUUCUGAGAGGAAGGUCCCCCACAUUGGAACUGAGACACGGUCCAGACUCCUACGGGAGGCAGCAGUGAGGAAUAUUGGUCAAUGGCCGAGAGGCUGAACCAGCCAUGCCGCGUGCGGGAAGACGGCCCUAUGGGUUGUAAACCGCUUUUGUCGGGGAGCAAUAAGUCUUACGUGUAAGAUGAUGAGAGUACCUGGCGAAUAAGCAUCGGCUAACUCCGUGCCAGCCGCAGC